UUUUUAAACACAUAUACCCUUUGUGAUUAAAAAAUAUAUUUCUAAUUCAUUUAAGGGCAAAUCUCCAAAAUAGCAUCUUUCUAAGUUUAUAUCACAAAAAUAGCACUCAAAAACUAAAAUGACCAAAAUAGCACCUUUCUAAGUUUAUCAUUUGAAAAUUUUAAUUUUUUUAUUUUUCAAAAUUUAAAAUCUUAUCCCCAAAACCUCAUUUCACAUUUCUAAGUUUAUAUCACAAAAAUAGCACUCAAAAACUAAAAUGACCAAAAUAGCACAUUUCUAAGUUUAUCCAUUGAAAAUUUUAAUUUUUUUAUUUUUCAAAAUUUGAAAUCUUAUCCCCAAAACCUCAUUUCUCAACUCUAAACCCUAAACCCUAAACUCUAAACCCUAAACCCUAAACCCUAAACCCUAAAACCUAAACCAUAAACUCUAAACCCUAAACCCUAAACUCUAAACCCUAAACUCUAAACCCUAAACCCUAAACCCUAAAUUCUAA
This 493-nucleotide long non-coding RNA is filed under the name Brassica napus (rape). RNAcentral describes it as "long non-coding RNA (BNAP_LNC023163)". The record is from RNAcentral. Lineage: Eukaryota; Viridiplantae; Streptophyta; Magnoliopsida; Brassicales; Brassicaceae.